CUCAGCUGGGGAUGGUGGAAGCCAAGCUGGGGACCCUCGCUCCAUACUGAAAGCUGUGUGGGGUCCUCUGCGAACACAGGGGUCCUUAAGCUCAGGAUGGGGACCUGGUAGUGGACUAGGAGACCCAGGGGGAAGCAAGUGAGACACUGGAUCUGAGGGAGCACGAUGGCAGUGUUUCUGGAGGCCAAGAACGCCCAUUCGGUCCUGAAGCGGUUCCCCCGUGCUAACGAGUUCCUGGAGGAGCUGCGCCAGGGCACCAUCGAGCGGGAGUGCAUGGAGGAGAUCUGCAGCUACGAGGAGGUCAAGGAGGUGUUUGAGGACAAGGAGAAAACGAUGGAGUUCUGGAAGGGGUACCCAAACGCCGUCUACUCCGUCCGAGACCCUGCGCAGAGCUCAGACGCCAUGUACGUGGUGGUGCCCCUUCUGGGCGUGGCCUUGCUGAUUGUCAUCGCCUUGUUCAUCAUUUGGAGGUGCCAGCUGCAGAAAGCCACCCGUCACCACCCGUCGUACGCUCAGAACCGGUACCUAGCGAGUCGCGCGGGGCACAGCCUCCCCCGGGUCAUGGUCUACCGGGGCACUGUGCACAGCCAGGGCGAGUCCUCCGGGCACCGGGAGGCAGGGAGCCACCCGCAGGUGGUGCUGGGGCCCAGUCGCGGAGGUAGGACCACGGUCCGCCUCGAGAGCACCCUCUACCUCCCCGAGCUCUCCCUCUCCAGACUGUCCAGCGCCACCCCGCCCCCGUCCUACGAGGAGGUGACUGCUCCCCAGGAGAGCAGCAGCGAGGAGGCGAGCGUCUCUUACAGUGACCCGCCCCCCAAGUACGAAGAGAUAGUGGCCGCCAACCCCGGUUCCGACAAGUAGUGGGACUCGGGUCCCAUCCAGCGGGAAAGCCUCGUUCAGGGGUCUCCUCUUUUCUUUUUAACUUUUUAAAGACUGUGCCACCACAAAACAGCCUUAGCCUCCUCGUUGCCAAAUAAUUUCCCACCCGUGGAUUUGCGGGAAGUCGGUUGUCAGAGACAGGUGGCGGGGGGUAGGGAUCACGCAUGCGCCGCGACCGCGGGCUGGGGGUGGGGGGAGCGAGGAGCCGCGAGCCAGAGAGCCCAUAGCUCUUCCAGAAGCCCCCAGGCCCCUGCCCUCCUGUCCUCCUGUCAGGGCCUGGCUUCUCUUAUGCCAAAGGAAUCCCCCUGUUGAGUUGAUCGUGGCUGGCGACCCGUUUGUCUGAAGCCUCGCCACAGAGACGAGGGAGAGAAGCCAGCCCUUCAGCGCCCUUUUCCCUGACUAGCCCUGCUGGGCUCUAGGGCCUGGCUCACUUGUGACAAGGACAAGGACCGAACAGAACCGGAAAGAGUAACAACCUGACUGAACACAAUACAACACAACGCUGUCCCCUGGGCCGCGCAUAGGGGUUCAAGAGAAAUCAGUGGCACGGAUCUGUGGCACUCCCCUCCCCCAACGCCCACCCCACGCUCCUGACCAGGUUCCGAGGAAUGUCUAGAGCCACCCGGAAGGGGCACGGGGUGUGUGAAGGAUGAGGGGCAGCGCCUGGCUGGCAGAGCUGCCUCCUGCAGGUUGUGGACCUUGGCGUCCCCCAGCCCUUGGCUCGCCGGGCACCGGUACCAGCCGAGCCAGAGCCGCCACCCGCUGGCUCAAGCCCAGGCUUAGGCCGGGGAGGACAGACUGUGGCACCCAGGGUCUUUGAAUGGUUGAGGGCAGGCUGGGGGAGAGAGCUGAAGCGUCCUCCUCCUGAGGGUGGCCCAUAGGAUGAGUAAAGCCAUGCACUUGGCCUUCUCCGAGCUGUGCUCUCUGGCUCCUGGACCUUGGAGGCUAUUCGCCUUUUUGUGAAUAGGUGUGUUGAGAUGAACCUGGUGCCCGCCUGGGGAGAUCGUCAAGGGUCCCUUUGGAGGAGUUUCUUGGUGGGGGGGAUGCGGCAGCCCAUGACCUGGGGUUGAGGGCCCAUCUGGGAUUUGCUCCGUCAUUGCCAGGUGCUGGUCCUUUUUUAGUCCCCCCCUUCUGUGGCCCCGGGAGCUGUCCGCCUCUCCAUUUCGGGGAGGCUUCGGACAGCAGUGGGGCGGAGGUGAGCACACAAAAGACACUGUCGACACUGCCUCCCCACCCCGCCGUCUUCAUCCUCCUGGCCUCAGCACCAAACCAUGUUUCCUCUGUGGUGCUUUACAAAAUGUAGCAAAUUUUUGUGGGGCCCCAAAAGAGUGCACAGCCAGGGUCUAUUGGCAACCACAGCGGUUUAAAACCCACAGAGAAGACAAGCUUCUCUCUGUCUAAACAGCUUUCCAAGGCAAGCCUCGGGCCUCGUUCUUUGACUUCCGGAGGCCCUUCCCGCCCUGGGCCCUCGGCCAGGAACGCACUUCUAGAAAUCUGUAGGUUACACGGGAGUCGGUCUCCUGCCGGUUGAACCUUUCUGCCCCUCCCCCUCGCCCUCCUCCGGAGCUCCCUGAUGCCAGAGGUGCUGACCAGGUGGCAUUCCACCUCUCCCCCUUCCUCUUCCUGCCCGCGGGCCUCUAGCAUGUCCUCGGCCCGUGCCUGUCUGGGACCUGGGAGGAUGCCCAGGAACGCCUGCUCCCUUUGGCCCCUUUGCAGCUGGCCGGAGGUGGGAGCUCUCCGGGUCAGGUGCUUCGCAGCGUUCUUCCACGUGGGGUUGCCACCGUGGGCUCUGGGACGUCUUUUGCAGCAUCUCGUAGAAAACAGACUGUACAGUUCACAAUGGUCAGAACUCCUCGUGGUGCACAUUUGGCUUUUAUGAAUGCCCUGUACAUAUCUUUUGCAACUCUGUCUUUGUACCGACGUUGAUUUGAUACAAUGCUACACCUGCAGUGGCCACAUUUUUGUUGGUUUUGGACUGUGUGUGUGUGUGUGUGUGUGUUUGUGUGUCCGUAUACACGUGUGCACGUUGCCUUUUCUCACACGCUUAUCUGAAACAAUAGCCGGUGUGUGGCUAUAUUUGUACCAGGAGGGUUCCGGUCUGAAGGGAGGAGUGAAGAAAGCCGAGCUUAGCUGUUGGAGCCCGCCAAAGUUGCUUCCUUCCACCCCCUUCCCGAAAGAUUUGGGAAGAAGACGGAGCCACUCCAUGCUGUGGGACCCCCACUGUAACGCCCUGUUGGCGCCGUGCCCCCAGCCUCCACGCCUGCUCUCUGAGCAUCAGCAGCUGAAGGCAAUCUGAGCACUCCUCAGCCUUUUUAUUUUUUUUUUUUUACUUUUAUUUUUCGGUGGAAAGGUGGGUGACUGUUGACUGUGGGAAUGGAAGGGCUAGUUAUUUAGGUAUUUUUCAUUUAAACAAAAAA
This 3296-nucleotide long non-coding RNA is filed under the name Sus scrofa (pig). RNAcentral's name for it is "lncRNA (ENSSSCG00015003509.1)". Lineage: Eukaryota; Metazoa; Chordata; Mammalia; Artiodactyla; Suidae. The record is from RNAcentral.